RNAcentral lists this ribosomal RNA (496 nucleotides) under uncultured bacterium. RNAcentral's name for it is "partial 16S ribosomal RNA". It matches the Rfam family "Bacterial small subunit ribosomal RNA", at positions 29 to 507 of the family's 1533-position model. The record is from RNAcentral.
AUGAACGCUGGCGGCGUGCCUAAUACAUGCAAGUCGAGCGAACAGACGAGGAGCUUGCUCCUCUGACGUUAGCGGCGGACGGGUGAGUAACACGUGGAUAACCUACCUAUAAGACUGGGAUAACUUCGGGAAACCGGAGCUAAUACCGGAUAAUAUAUUGAACCGCAUGGUUCAAUAGUGAAAGACGGUUUUGAUGUCACUUAUAGAUGGAUCCGCGCCGCAUUAGCUAGUUGGUAAGGUAACGGCUUACCAAGGCAACGAUGCGUAGCCGACCUGAGAGGGUGAUCGGCCACACUGGAACUGAGACACGGUCCAGACUCCUACGGGAGGCAGCAGUAGGGAAUCUUCCGCAAUGGGCGAAAGCCUGACGGAGCAACGCCGCGUGAGUGAUGAAGGUCUUCGGAUCGUAAAACUCUGUUAUUAGGGAAGAACAAAUGUGUAAGUAACUAUGCACGUCUUGACGGUACCUAAUCAGAAAGCCACGGCUAACUACGUG